UUCUUUGAGAGACAAGAAAGUAAUCAACAAAUAUAAACAACCUAGUUCCUAUACCAAAAGCUCCAAGGUAGUCAAGAAGAAUUUAUAAACCGUCUCAGUUGAAUGGUUUGAACUUUAUGACUAUGUCAUAGAGUUGCACCUCUUAAUUCGAAAGAAAUAAGAAUGAAAAUCCUUAUGACUACAUUGAGUGUAUAUAUGAUAUAUACUCAAGAAAAUGGUAAAGUACCAUUUGACCCGAAAUAAUGAAACCUUCAUAAGCUAAUUGGUAGCUUAAGGUGACUACAAUC
RNAcentral lists this long non-coding RNA (287 nucleotides) under Malus domestica (apple). RNAcentral describes it as "long non-coding RNA (MDOM_LNC000083)". Lineage: Eukaryota; Viridiplantae; Streptophyta; Magnoliopsida; Rosales; Rosaceae. The record is from RNAcentral.